UGCCAAAAGCCUGGUACGUGGUAGUUC
RNAcentral lists this non-coding RNA (27 nucleotides) under Mus musculus (house mouse). The record is from RNAcentral. Lineage: Eukaryota; Metazoa; Chordata; Mammalia; Rodentia; Muridae.